RNAcentral lists this unclassified non-coding RNA (418 nucleotides) under soil metagenome. Its description in RNAcentral is "partial contains 5.8S ribosomal RNA, internal transcribed spacer 2, and large subunit ribosomal RNA". The stretch from base 1 to 120 matches the Rfam family "5.8S ribosomal RNA", at positions 35 to 154 of the family's 154-position model. The record is from RNAcentral.
GAUGAAGAACGUAGCGAAAUGCGAUAAGCAAUGUGAAUUGCAGAAUUCAGUGAAUCAUCGAAUCUUUGAACGCAUCUUGCGCUCCUUGGUAUUCCUUGGAGCAUGCCUGUUUGAGUAUCAUGAGCAAACCUCAAAGUCAAUUCCUUUUGUUAAUUCAAUUGGUUUUGCUUUGGACUUGGAGGUCUUGCAGAUUUCACAGUCUGCUCCUCUUAAAUGCAUUAGCUGGAUCUCAGUAAUUAUGCUUGGUUCCACUCGGCGUGAUAAGUAUCACUCGCUGAGGACACUGUUAAAAAGGUGGCCAGGAAAAUACUGAUUGAACCGCUUCUAACGGUCUAUUAAGUUAGACAAUUACCCUUAAGUUUGAUCUCAAAUCAGGUAGGACUACCCGCUGAACUUAAGCAUAUCAAUAAGCGGAGGA